UGGCGGCGUGCCUAAUACAUGCAAGUCGAGCGAACGGACGAGAAGCUUGCUUCUCUGAUGUUAGCGGCGGACGGGUGAGUAACACGUGGAUAACCUACCUAUAAGACUGGGAUAACUUCGGGAAACCGGAGCUAAUACCGGAUAAUAUUUUGAACCGCAUGGUUCAAAAGUGAAAGACGGUCUUGCUGUCACUUAUAGAUGGAUCCGCGCUGCAUUAGCUAGUUGGUAAGGUAACGGCUUACCAAGGCAACGAUGCAUAGCCGACCUGAGAGGGUGAUCGGCCACACUGGAACUGAGACACGGUCCAGACUCCUACGGGAGGCAGCAGUAGGGAAUCUUCCGCAAUGGGCGAAAGCCUGACGGAGCAACGCCGCGUGAGUGAUGAAGGUCUUCGGAUCGUAAAACUCUGUUAUUAGGGAAGAACAUAUGUGUAAGUAACUGUGCACAUCUUGACGGUACCUAACCAGAAAGCCACGGCUAACUACGUGCCAGCAGCCGCGGUAAUACGUAGGUGGCAAGCGUUAUCCGGAAUUAUUGGGCGUAAAGCGCGCGUAGGCGGUUUUUUAAGUCUGAUGUGAAAGCCCACGGCUCAACCGUGGAGGGUCAUUGGAAACUGGAAAACUUGAGUGCAGAAGAGGAAAGUGGAAUUCCAUGUGUAGCGGUGAAAUGCGCAGAGAUAUGGAGGAACACCAGUGGCGAAGGCGACUUUCUGGUCUGUAACUGACGCUGAUGUGCGAAAGCGUGGGGAUCAAACAGGAUUAGAUACCCUGGUAGUCCACGCCGUAAACGAUGAGUGCUAAGUGUUAGGGGGUUUCCGCCCCUUAGUGCUGCAGCUAACGCAUUAAGCACUCCGCCUGGGGAGUACGACCGCAAGGUUGAAACUCAAAGGAAUUGACGGGGACCCGCACAAGCGGUGGAGCAUGUGGUUUAAUUCGAAGCAACGCGAAGAACCUUACCAAAUCUUGACAUCCUUUGACAACUCUAGAGAUAGAGCUUUCCCCUUCGGGGGACAAAGUGACAGGUGGUGCAUGGUUGUCGUCAGCUCGUGUCGUGAGAUGUUGGGUUAAGUCCCGCAACGAGCGCAACCCUUAAGCUUAGUUGCCAUCAUUAAGUUGGGCACUCUAAGUUGACUGCCGGUGACAAACCGGAGGAAGGUGGGGAUGACGUCAAAUCAUCAUGCCCCUUAUGAUUUGGGCUACACACGUGCUACAAUGGACAAUACAAAGGGCAGCGAAACCGCGAGGUCAAGCAAAUCCCAUAAAGUUGUUCUCAGUUCGGAUUGUAGUCUGCAACUCGACUACAUGAAGCUGGAAUCGCUAGUAAUCGUAGAUCAGCAUGCUACGGUGAAUACGUUCCCGGGUCUUGUACACACCGCCCGUCACACCACGAGAGUUUGUAACACCCGAAGCCGGUGGAGUAACCUUUUAGGAGCUAGCCGUCGAAGGUGGGACAAAUGAUUGGGGUGAAGUCGUAACAAGGUAGCCGUAUCGGAAGGUGCGGCUGGAUCACCUCC
RNAcentral lists this ribosomal RNA (1513 nucleotides) under Escherichia coli. Its description in RNAcentral is "partial 16S ribosomal RNA". It matches the Rfam family "Bacterial small subunit ribosomal RNA". The record is from RNAcentral. Lineage: Bacteria; Pseudomonadati; Pseudomonadota; Gammaproteobacteria; Enterobacterales; Enterobacteriaceae.